This 674-nucleotide non-coding RNA is filed under the name Cajanus cajan (pigeon pea). RNAcentral describes it as "Eukaryotic large subunit ribosomal RNA". It matches the Rfam family "Eukaryotic large subunit ribosomal RNA", at positions 24 to 622 of the family's 3401-position model. Lineage: Eukaryota; Viridiplantae; Streptophyta; Magnoliopsida; Fabales; Fabaceae. The record is from Rfam by way of RNAcentral.
CCCACUAAGUUAAAGCAUAUCAAUAAGCGGAGGAAAAUAAACUAACAAGGAUUUCCUUAGUAAUAGCGAGCAAACCGAGAAGAGCCCACCAUGAAAAUCGAUUGUCUUUGGCAUCUGAAUUAUAGUUUAGAGAAGCGUCCUCAGUGGCAGACCGGGCCCAAGUCUCCUGGAAGGGGGCGCCAGAGAGGGUGAGAGCCCCGUCGUGCCCGGACCCUGUCGCACCACGAGGCGUUGUUGAUGAGUCAGGUUGUUUGGGAUUGUAUCCCCAAUCAGGUAGUAAAUUUUGUUCAAGGCUAAACAUUGGCGAGAGACCGAUAGCAAACAAGUACCGCAAGGGAAAGAUGAAAAGGACUUUAAAAAGAGAGUGAAAGAGUGCUUGAAAUUGUCGGGAGGGAAGCGGAUGGGGGUUGACGGUAUGUCCCGGUCAUAUGUGGAAUGGUGUUAGCCAGUCUACUGAUCGACUCGGGGCAUUGACCGAUGCGAAUUGUGACGGUGGCCCAAGCCCAAUGCGAAUUGUGACGGUGGCCCAAGCCCGGGUUGUCGAAAUGUUUGUGGAGACGUCAUUGUCACGAUUGUGGACGGUAGCAUGCAUCUACCUGAGCUUUUGAAAACUAUUCCCAAGGAUUUUAACCCAUUAAGAAUUGUUUGGAAGCAUCCAAACAUCUUAUCAAUGG